GGCGUGUGCCGCCGGUAAGCGGGGGGAGCGGCGCGGGGUGGGGGCUCUGGUCUGAGCCUGACUGAGGGACGGGAGGUUUAGGUUAGAGGUUAGGAGGGAAUCCUGCGCUGUGAGGGCGGCGAGGCGCUGGCACGGGCUGCCCAGAGCAGCCGUGGGUGCCCCAUCCCCGGAGGUGCUGGAGGCCAGGCUGGGUGGGGCUUUGGGCAGCCUGGUCUGGUGGGUGAGUGGCUGCUGGAGCACACGGACUUUAGGCAGGGUGAUAAACAGAGUUGUGCUGUCAGUAGCCGGUCCCUGCACAGGUCAGUUUGCAGAACCAGGCCCGGAGUGGCGUACGCUUCGUAAGGUGAGGCCUCCGUCACACCUUUUUGCUGGAGAUCGGCGUGGUUUUGAUGCCGGGCUUGGCAGGUGUUAUCCACAAGGCAGGGAACGACUUCUGCCACAGUGGUUGAUGGUUGUGUCUGUGCUGAUUUCGGUGGGGUUUUCAACAGCACUUCCAGAGGGAAAGCCGAUUUUCAGUACUCGCAUUAGGCAGGCAUUCAAGUGUUAGUUCAGCUUAAUAUUAAAAGCUCUAAAUCCUUGCAGUUCUCUGCUGAGACCAUAAUACUGUAAAUGUUUUACAGCUGACUAACAGGAGAGUAUGCAGCCUAAUAACUGUAGUGUAGAUGUUGCUGUGAACAUGCACUGUUGAUGCUGGUGUUCUUGGGGAGCUCAGGGGCAGUUGGGCUGUCUGUGCUGUGCCUGAGCCCGUAAAAUCCUGGUGUCAGGCUUUCUUGCCCACAGUGACAGUGUCCCACAGGGCACCCAGGGUCAUUUUCUAGCCUCCCGCCUUCAGCUUAUUUUUAGAGCCUGCUUCUGGAGGAGAUGCAUACAUGCAAGUGCCUUUCCUCUACCAUGCUGGUGCAGGAUCAUAAAUGCCAAGCCUUGCUCGCUAUUUCUGGUGGUGUAGAAUUGUGCCACCGGGUCCGGACCCCGCUGCGCUUGUUGCCACACCGUCGGGCCCGGGCCCUUGCUACAGCAGGUACCACCGGUCUGGGGUGGCUGCCUUUCCAGCUGCCACCUCCCUCCCUUCACAAGGAUGUUACCGUCCCUGCGAAGCCACUGCCCUGAGUUGCCUGAGGAUGUGGUCAGAGUGUUUGUGCUGCUAGCAGGGAGAUGAAACCUGUGGUACCCAGAGCUGGUGUGAUCUGGCUUUGCUCACCUGUGACGUUCCAGAGCCUUUUGAGCUUCCCCGCCUUUGAAAGAUUCUUUUCUUCUCGGGGAAAACUUCAAAAAACCCUCCUUCCAGCUGUUCUGGAAUAACAAACGCAGCUGUUCUCUUUUUCCUAAAGACGUUAAAUGUGCUUUUACAGACAAUGUUGCAGUAAAGCGUCGAAUAUGAAAACUUUCUUCACCACAGACCUGUAUGAAGGGUUCUCUCUGUGCUAGGUACUCGUGAUGUGAAAGAAGAACAUCACACACGUAAGCACGAUCACCUGGUUGCCCUCAGCUACCUGACUGCAUCUUUCACCCGUGUACGAGAGGUGCUUUUACGUGUAUUUCUUUACGUGGCACAUUCAGGCAGGAUUAUACCCACGUGCCUGCGCCAGGUCAAGUGAAAGCGGCAUCGCUGAGCUUGCAUCUUGGUGGAGAACUGCAGAGCGUGGAGGAUACUGCGUGGACACGUACAGGGUGUCGUCCGAAGGUGCAGGCACGAGCACGGCUGUUACGAACACAGGAGCCUCAGGAGCGCUGCUCCAGUCGCUGCGUCACUGAAGGGGGUGUAAUGGAUCUCUGUGGUGUGGUGAGGCUUACCGGACGUCUGCACGGGGAUAAUACAGGAUUAGUAAUAAGCCCACAUCACUUCUUGUUCUGGGAUUGUACGUUGGUCACCUACAAUGUCUACCCUCGGAAUAAAAAGUAUUUACAGCAUGGGGAGUUCCUUCUCACCUUCCCUCCCAGGAGCCCACUGCUGCUUCAUGCUGGGUUUCGCAAGACAAGUUUGUGACUACUUGGCAAAUUAGUAGUGAUGAUGCUUUUCAUGGAUUGGACACUGGAGGGUGCUAAUGCAAUGGGAGCUGAAAUUGUUCUACUAAAUUAAAGGGUUCCCCUUUGUUACUUGUGAAAUAAUUUUAUUCUUUGUUGCAACAUUUAAAUGGAAAGACAGGAAUCAGGGUCCUCACCGGCAGCUGAUCGCACUGUGCGUGUGUAGAGCUAUAACCAAGAAUAUCAAUAAAGCGUUAAGUCUGCGAGGGAUUUCUUUCCUGAACCUUUAUCCAAAAAAAAAAAAAUCACUUCAUGUUCUACACGUCUUUGAGUGUAUCUUUCAAGAUGAUGGCCUUGAGGUGAAUUUUAUUUGAAAGCAUGACUUUCUAGUGAUAAAAACACUUUGUCAGGCAGAAGCAUCUGCAGCAUCUGCUUUACUACAAGGUCACUUUGGUUCACCUAAAGCGGUGUUGUCUUGUUGCUGCCCAGGCACAACCUGAUCGUGGCUCACAUCAGGGAGGGGAGGGAUGCCUCUAACACCACUAAUCGAGUCCCUGGUGGUGUGAUCCUCUUCUCUAAGGACAGACCCGAUGGAGCUCUCUCACAUCAAGGCUUAGGGAGGCUAUGCAUGGUAUACACGUCGCACCUAGAGGUGUCUGCGCUGCUCGGAGUUUACGCUGAGCCAGUCUCUGCUCUCCUCCGCAGCUGGCAGGAAGACGUGGGGCUGACAUAAACGCCCCGGUGUGCACCUUGGCAAUUCCUUAUUCAGUAUUAAGGGCUGUGAAACUACUGCCCGAGCCGGUUCUCCUCCUGGCAGCAGCAGAGGUAUGAUGCUGGCUAAUUAAUGCUAAUGAGAAGCAGGGUGCAAAGCCAAGCGUAUCCAGCUAAUCACCACUGGCACCCCAACUAGGCCGCGUAAAGCUAGUGCAGUCCUCAGAGGUCCUGCCUGGCCCUCUACCCGCCUUUGGGGAUGUGUUAGCAAGACGGAAGCCAUCAGUCAUAAAGUGUCUGAGCAAAACGGAAUUAGUUACAGGUACACUUCUUUGUCUCUCUCAUCAGGUGUGAGUGGCAAAUGAGUUACUCCUCUGUCUUGUUCCCCUUUCCAAGUGAGUUGCGCUGUCCCCUCCUGGAGAACGUCACCUGGCUGUAACGUGUUGGUCGGUUUGUUCUCUCCAGCUGUUGCUGUCUGCUUGCAAACAGGCAGGUUUCAUUUUUCUUUCUUUUAAAAAACGCACAUCGCUUCUCUCUGAAUUCCCCCUUGAACAGAAGUGCAGCUGAGCACAGAGGAAGACCCUGUUCGUGAGGGACCUGGGAUCUGUCUUGUUCUGGCACCGUUCAUGACACGCUUGCCCACCUCACGCAGGUACACAGCUGGCGUCACAGAAAAGUUGCUUGGCUGCUUAUUGGAAGCAGCAGAAACGUGGCCAGCUGAAAGUUCACGCUUCCUUUGCAAGAGCUCUAGUAGCUUCCCAGAAUAAGGUCAUAAGGGGAUGCAAGAAGUAAAGCUCUUAAAAUCGUUGUAAUAACUAGCGUUAAUGAAGACAGUAAGCUUGAGAGGAAAUAAGUUAGUCUAAGCACACAUAAAGGGUCUGAUCACAGCUUAUUCAUCUUGCUUACCAGCCUUCAGAAGAAGACAGUGUCUUCCCUCGCAUCUCCACCCUUAGGAGCGGGGCCGAGCUCGGUUACGCCGCUUGGCAUAACGUCAGGAGACGACGCGCUAGUUGUGGUGCCAAAAGGGUCUGCAGCCGUGCAUUUCACGUAGGCUGCGUCCUGAUUUAUCCCGAGAGACCUCUGGCUAGGAGAGAGGGCUAACAGGCCUUUGGCCUAAUCGCCCCUCACUUCUCCCUGUGCCCUGCAACUCUCCCGGUGCCAUUGGCAUAAAUAGGAUUCACCUGUCCCCGUGAAACGGGCACUGCUGAGGCUGCCGGCCUUGCCUUCCCCGUUUUGCGGGCCCGGGUUGACCUGCUGUCGUGGGCUGAGCAGCCAAACCUGCUUUCUUCUCUGCCAUUUUAAUUAAAAAUGGUUGGCAUGAGAGGCUCUGCAGCGAUGAAAGGGAAAUGAUGAAACUUUGAAGAAUUUGGAGCAUAAAGCUGAUCUCUAAAUUUUAAUGUACUCGUUGCAUUUAAACAGUUAAUAGAUACAUUUUAUUAUUGAGCUUUCAGGUGACCUAAUUUCCCUUAGUACUGUACAUUUAGCUUUAUACAUCUGCACCUAAUUUGUAAAAAAGGACUUAAUGAGAAACUUCAAACAGUUUAAAUGUCAAUUACAAAGAAAGCGAGGUUUUAAAGUUCCAGUAAUCUGUCCAUAUUGGUCAUCGAAACAUGAUCCCAGGUGGAUGUUAAUUCAAGACAGAUGGCAUUCCAAAGGCACAAUUACAAAGAGCUUAUAUAUUUUCAACACUAACAAGCUGUCACGCUAUGUUGUAGCUACACUUCCAAUACUGUAUAACUACAAUUACUGCUUUAUCUGCUGCGGGCUCGGUAAUAAAGGGGUUUCAUUCCCCGCUCUUGAAAUUGUCAACGGGAUUUUUGGGGGCGAACUGGAGAGCAGGGUUGGGUAGUGUGUAUAUCUCCCAUUUGCUCAGUCUGUUGGGUGGGGGUGGUUUUUCUGUGUUUUGUGUUUUUUUUUGUUUUUUUUUUUGUUUUUUCUUUUUAAGUUGGUGAAUGCUAUUUGGAGAAGGAGGGGAAAUACUGAAUAUAUGCAUAACAAGACUAGCUCAUCACAGAAAGAUUUCUAUUUCCUGGCGAUAAUAAUUAACUUUCCUCUUAUCAGCUGCUAGGAAGUAGCUAUGCUGAUGUGUUCAAACCCACAACAUCCUGGAUGUUUUCACUUAAAAAGUCAUCGGAAAGCCUUUGGAGUAGUGCAUGUGUUACUUGGAAGGCUGAAGUCAAAGGGAUUGAUUGUGACUUUACUUGCAGUGGUGUCAAUAGGGAGCAGUUCCUCCGCAGCCGCGCAGGAAUGGUACACCCAGUGCGAAAUCAGGUUUGAAUUAUUUGUAGGUUUCUGAAAGGGUGAUUCGGCCCAUGGGCAGAGAUAGAGGGGCUGAACAAAGCCGGCUAAAGACAGCACUUCCACUAGACCAAAGCACCAACGUGUGGUGGAUGGCACCAUUUGGUGGGGAAUGCCCGUGUUGGACAUAAAUUUCCUACCGUAGGUGGACAGGGGUCUGUAUACUGACCGAUGAAACAUAAUUGGGUAUAAUUUCCACUGACUUUUUAUUUGUUUCUUGAAACCAGGUCACGAAAAAGCAAGGUUUGCACUGGUAUGACUAGAUAGUGUUUUAAUAGGCUUUAAAAAUACUAACACUGUUAGGAGCAAGAUUAAUAACGCUCUCCAGGAAGGUCUUUAAGCUCCCAUGGGCACGUCUAUUCUCUGAAGAGGUACUGAGAGUGAAGAGCUUACGUUUCUGCUAAUUUAUCUACUUUUCGCUGGAAAGUGGAGAGGGAGGCAGAAAGGCUAAGAUCCUUCAUCCUUGGAACGCUGGAAUUAAAUGGGCGGUCAACUUCGUCCAUGAUGUGGGCCAGGCACUUUGUAGGAAGAGCUCUCACCUCCUUAUCGUCCGAGGAGCAGCAGCAGCAGCGUGCCCAACACUUGGAAUGCAAGGAGGUCUUCACCAAAGUGGUUGAUAACGCCAGCACAUCAAAUCUGCACGAAAUGAAUCGCUACAGUGCCCAACAGGCAAUGAAUGCCUUCUGCAGGAUAAGGAACACGCCGCAGUCGUAUGGAUCUAGAAACGCCAAAAGGCGCUAGCACGGCAGCCCAAGGAAACUGUGAAGCCCAGUCUUGGUCCUCACAACAGGCGCUGCUUUCCCAGCGUGCUCCCCUGGUAUGCUUCAAGUGUGCGUGACAAAAGCAGAGCAAUUAAUGCCUGGGGAUGUCGGUUGUGGUGGCGGAGGACUUUGGUUGGUUCGUUUUGUCGUUCGCUCAGUUAGGGUCAAGCUGAAAACUUCCCAAGUGUAUGCUAUGGAACUAGCCAUCCAUAUCUAUAACCCUAAAUUGCUGGGGCUGAACUCUUCUCCUUCAGCCAAUGCAAGCUGAACUACUCACAGCCUCAUUAAAGUUCCUUGACUGCAAUUAUGUGGGUGCCAAUUUGCACAAUCAGAACAUAAAUUCCAAGGGAAGACAAGAGCUGACUGCGCGUCACGGCUGCCGGCAGCACCUUUGUUUUGCUAAUCAGCACAAAUUCAGCAUCUACGUGUUCACGUGCGUUAUUUUCAGCAGCAAGGGGCGAUACGGCAUAGCGUCCGAGCUGCCACCCCUCUGUACCUAGUUUUUAGGAUCCAGAGAAGCAGCCGAUAUUUGGAGGUGUGUGUGUAUUAUUCUGUUUUCUUACGCUGCUUUUGUUGCCUCUAUUGACGUGCUCGGGGCCCCAGAUACUGCACGGGGUUUAGUAUGACCCCGGGGCCUUUGCAGAGUUGAUUGCAGGACUCAAACCUUUAUAUCCACUAUUAAAAGGCAGUUAUGUGACUGUUUAUGUUAGAGCCAGGUGCUUUGUUGGCUGUGGACAUGCUGUUACUUGACAAAAUUUAGUUGUUGUUUUUUCUUUGUCAUUAAAAUAUGAUAAAC
This is a long non-coding RNA of Cygnus olor (mute swan), 6528 nucleotides long. RefSeq lists it as uncharacterized. The record is from RefSeq and is a predicted model, not a curated record. The transcript is spliced from 3 exons. NCBI's taxonomy places the organism in Eukaryota, Metazoa, Chordata, Aves, Anseriformes, Anatidae.